Molecule: non-coding RNA, 518 nt
Organism: Cricetulus griseus (Chinese hamster)
Lineage: Eukaryota; Metazoa; Chordata; Mammalia; Rodentia; Cricetidae
Source: RefSeq, a predicted model, not a curated record
GUAGUGCAUGUUUCUGUAGGAUGUGCCGGAUGAUCUUGAUGGUGCUCCCAUUGAGGAAGAGCUUGAUGGCGCACCGCUGGAAGAUGUGGAUGGAAUUCCCAUUGAUGCUACUCCCAUUGAUGAUCUUGACGGAGUCCCUAUAAAAAGUCUUGAUGAUGAUCUUGAUGGAGUGCCUUUGGAUGCAACUGAAGAUUCAAAGAAGAAUGAACCCAUCUUCAAAGUUGCCCCGUCAAAAUGGGAGGCUGUAGAUGAAUCUGAAUUGGAAGCACAAGCUGUAACAACUUCUAAGUGGGAGCUAUUUGACCAGCACGAAGAAUCAGAAGAAGAAGAAAACCAAAAUCAAGAAGAAGAAAGUGAAGAUGAAGAAGACACUCAGAGUUCCAAAUCAGAAGAACACCAUUUGUAUUCUAACCCAGUCAGAGAAGAAAUGACUGAAUCUAAGUUCUCUAAGUACUCUGAAAUGAGUGAAGAAAAACGAGCUAAGCUUCGUGAAAUUGAGGUUUGUAUUGCAUUAAAAU